GGCCGCAAGGCUGACGCAGCAACGCCGCGUGGGUGAUGAAGGCCUUCGGGUCGUAAAGCCCUGUCAGGUGGGAAGAACGAUUGGGGGUCGAAUAGGCCUUUGAUGUGACGGUACCACCAGAGGAAGCACCGGCUAACUCCGUGCCAGCAGCCGCGGUAAUACGGAGGGUGCGAGCGUUAUUCGGAAUUACUGGGCGUAAAGCGCGUGUAGGCGGCCUGGCAAGUCUGAUGUGAAAGCCCCGGGCUUAACCUGGGAAGUGCAUUGGAAACUGUCGGGCUUGAGUACUGGAGAGGAUGGGGGAAUUCCCGGUGUAGAGGUGAAAUUCGUAGAGAUCGGGAGGAAUAUCAGUGGCGAAGGCGCCCAUCUGGACGGUAACUGACGCUGAGACGCGAAAGCGUGGGGAGCAAACAGGAUUAGAUACCCUGGUAGUCCACGCUGUAAACGAUGAGCACUGGGUGUAGCGGGUACUCAUUCCUGCUGUGCCGCAGCUAACGCGUUAAGUGCUCCGCCUGGGGAUUACGGUCGCAAGACUAAAACUCA
This 540-nucleotide ribosomal RNA is filed under the name uncultured bacterium. RNAcentral's name for it is "bacterial SSU rRNA". It matches the Rfam family "Bacterial small subunit ribosomal RNA", at positions 373 to 903 of the family's 1533-position model. The record is from RNAcentral.